GCGACGAAAUCGUCUCGUCCUGAUCAAGGUGCCCCUAUUGAUGUUGAAGGAAUUCUACCGCGCCCCUGAGGCAGACAGUAUAAGUUUCGUACUGCAUCUUCAUAAGAAGCCGGUUUUUAGAUUUAGUCAAAUGCAUUUUAUUCGUACAAAUUUGUUAGUUACACUUGAUACAUUGUAGAGAUACCUACGUCGUUUUUUCGCUAAGGCACUAUUAGAUUGAGCCGUUUGUUCAGUACCAGAGCGCUGAUUUAUUCUGAGACGAAGAGAUGAUAGAGUAGUCGAAGGAUUUGUGAGGCUAUUGAACGUUCCAAUCGACCUGAGCUGAAUUAUGACGUGGGGAAAUACUAUUAGGGUUAUCCUGAUAAAUUGAUAUAUUCACGGCCAGUGGUUUGGUCGCGAAACACUAUCUCAUUAUCCAAUCAGAGUUAUGAAUCCUUCUAUCGGCGCUAUCAGUAAAGGGAAAUGGAAUUUUAGACAAAUCUCUUAAUAUCUCAGUCAAUUCUUAAGGUCCAAAAACGAAAGAGUACAUUUUGGAAAUACCAAAAGAAGCUUUUAAUUUUUUAUAUAGUAAAGCUUUAUUUAUAUAAGAUAUUAGCCACUGUAUCUUAUUUUUCUUAGUCCAGGGCCAUAGAAUAAAACCUCAAGAACACCAAACAGAGAUUUUUUUUUAUAUCCACAAUUUGUAGAGUCUACUUAGCUGUAACAGGUUAAACGCUUUUCUGUAAAAUUACAUAACUUAAAAUUGUACUCUAACACAGAACAGUUUAGAUAGGUAGAUAGAAUCAAAUCUAUAAGCGGGGCGUGGUUAAACUACUGCUUCAUCGUUCUAAUUUUGAUGAAUCAAUACCUUUAUAUUCUCCUGCUGUUGGUACAUGAGGCAAUUCAUAGUAAUUUAAAGCAGGAACUAGAAGUUGAACCUGGUUUAAAUUUAACAAAUUCAUAAAAUUCCAACUCUAAAUUAUUGAAACUUUACACGAUUAAUAAAUAUUUUUACAAUUCUAA
Molecule: long non-coding RNA, 1002 nt
Organism: Eurytemora carolleeae
Lineage: Eukaryota; Metazoa; Arthropoda; Copepoda; Calanoida; Temoridae
Exons: 2
Source: RefSeq, a predicted model, not a curated record